AUUCUCAGGGUCACCUCUUCCAGGAGGUUGCUCCAUCACCUGUGACAGUAGCAAAUAGGGAUCUGUCCUGCACUGGUGAUCAGUGAUUCCCUGGAAUUGUGCCUACAGACUGCAAGACCCUGGAUCUGAGAGGAAUCCAGCUCGGAGACGAUGCACGCUGGGAGAGAUUUUACGGGAACCUGCUUCUGCAGGGGGGUGCUCUGGCUUUCACACAGCUGCUCUUAUGCCCUUCAAUCUACAGCAGUCUGUCUGAAGAGGAAGUACAGAGUUCUACACUGAAAUUUGCUCUGUGAUCAAGUGAGCCACAUGAUGUUUCAUCCUUACGCCGCGUCGGGUCUUUGGCACGGCGAGAUGUCUUUCCCUGCUUGGGAAAAGACAAGGCAAACAGUAAAAGGGCUGAAAUCCA
This is a non-coding RNA of Taeniopygia guttata (zebra finch), 406 nucleotides long. Lineage: Eukaryota; Metazoa; Chordata; Aves; Passeriformes; Estrildidae. The record is from RefSeq and is a predicted model, not a curated record.